This is a non-coding RNA of Gossypium hirsutum (cotton), 134 nucleotides long. Lineage: Eukaryota; Viridiplantae; Streptophyta; Magnoliopsida; Malvales; Malvaceae. The record is from Rfam.
UGUUAAAAAUUUCAUCCUUUUGUACUGUUAGAAACUGGAUUGGCUAACAGAAUAAUCAUAUAAUGACAUGUGGCAUGUUCCGUGUACAUAUAGUAACCAGUUUUUAACCGUAUAUAUGGAUAGAAUUCUUAAUA